GACGAACGCUGGCGGCGUGCCUAAUACAUGCAAGUCGAGCGGAAUGAUGAAGAAGCUUGCUUCUUCUGAUUUUAGCGGCGGACGGGUGAGUAACACGUGGGCAACCUACCUUGUAGAUUGGGAUAACUCCGGGAAACCGGGGCUAAUACCGAAUAAUCCAUUUUGCUUCAUGGCGAGAUGUUGAAAGACGGUUUCGGCUGUCACUACAAGAUGGGCCCGCGGCGCAUUAGCUAGUUGGUAGGGUAAUGGCCUACCAAGGCGACGAUGCGUAGCCGACCUGAGAGGGUGAUCGGCCACACUGGGACUGAGACACGGCCCAGACUCCUACGGGAGGCAGCAGUAGGGAAUCUUCCACAAUGGACGAAAGUCUGAUGGAGCAACGCCGCGUGAGUGAAGAAGGUUUUCGGAUCGUAAAACUCUGUUGUAAGGGAAGAACACGUACGAAAGUAACUGCUCGUACCUUGACGGUACCUUAUUAGAAAGCCACGGCUAACUACGUG
RNAcentral lists this ribosomal RNA (500 nucleotides) under uncultured bacterium. RNAcentral describes it as "bacterial SSU rRNA". It matches the Rfam family "Bacterial small subunit ribosomal RNA", at positions 28 to 507 of the family's 1533-position model. The record is from RNAcentral.